CCUGGAACACAUGGUGUAGUUGGUGCAUGCAACAACACGUGGAUCCCAUAUGUGCCUCAACCACAUCUUGAGUUUCCUUACCGCCCUGUAUGACCAAAGCUUGGCCUACCGCACGAUAAACGUGUAUAGAUCAGCAAUCUCAGCUGGUCAUGGCGGAUUGGAUGAAUUCCCGGCUGGGAAACACUUGCUGUUUUGUCAUCUUCUACGAGGCAUUAGAUUUGCACGUCCACCACAGCACCGAUACACGACUUUAUGGGACGUCAAUCUGGUUCUUCGUCUCUUGGAAGAUUGGCCUAUGAACUCGGACCUUACGCUCAAAAAAGUAUCUGCAAAAUUGGCUAUGCUCCUGUGUUUAAUUUCCUAUAAAAGGGUGUCGGACAUUCGAGCUCUGGAUAUCGA
Molecule: non-coding RNA, 399 nt
Organism: Pelobates cultripes (western spadefoot toad)
Lineage: Eukaryota; Metazoa; Chordata; Amphibia; Anura; Pelobatidae
Source: the annotation of a GenBank genome assembly